RNAcentral lists this long non-coding RNA (11909 nucleotides) under Lynx pardinus (Iberian lynx). Lineage: Eukaryota; Metazoa; Chordata; Mammalia; Carnivora; Felidae. The record is from RNAcentral.
AAGAGACACCCAGACUUCUCAAACAAAGUUGUUAGUUAUGUUUGGCAAGGGACAAAAACACAUCCGUGGCUUGAUCAAUACUAUUAUUGGCGCUCGCAGCAUUUAUGUUCUUUUCAUAUUCCCUAUCCAGGAAAGAAACUUCAAGUUGGAAGAGGCAAGGUUCCCACAGAUGUUGGUGACAGAAAAUGGAAACCCAGGCAAGAAAUAAGGAAUGUUCUAAAGGCCCGCUCAGGGUCCCAGGGCCUGGCCAGAUAAAUUAACUUCUAGGAGACUUGUCUGCUUUGAAGAGCUGAGACUUUGAGGGAAGGGGCUAGAAGCCCAGCCACUGGAAAGUUACGAUCUUUUAAAAAAAUGGGCAGGCAGUUUGGAUGAUCUUUGGUCAUGCGAGCUGGACAUUGUCUCCAGGUGAGAAGCAAGGAGUCAAUGCAUUUUCCCAGACGUACCAUGUUUCUUUCUGAGAGUUGCUAGACUGGUUUUUGGGUAUUGUGUAAACAGAAUGCGUUUGUAGCAGUCCUUUUGACAGCUAAAGUCCCUGUCCUUGAAGACAGACGAGAUGAACCUCUGGGCAGGAGCAGAAGGUAGCCGGAUCAGGUAGAUGAAGAACUGAUUGAAUAUAGAGUACUAAUUAAUAGAUUGAUGACGAUCCGGAGAAAGGAUCUUUCACACUACAGGUUUCUGGCCUCCGUCUUGCCUUGUUAACUAUUUUUAUUAAUGACUUGGAUGAAGACGUUGAUGGCCUGGUGAUAAAAUUUGUGGGUGACACAAAGCUGGAAGAGCUAGCUCCUAAGUUGGAUGGCACAAUUGGGAUGCAAAAAAGAUCUGACGGACUGAAACAAUGGACCAGAUCUAAUAAGAUUAUGUUUAAUGGGGAUAAAUGCAAAGUCCUGCACUUGUUUAAAAUAAACAAACAACUAAGAUGGAAUGAGCAGCAGAUGCGCUUUGAUAGUAGCCUACGUGGAAAUGAUAGAGAUGUUUCAGUUGGUUAUUGGCUCAAAACGAAUCACUGGUGCGCCGUAAAUUUGGACUGUAAUGGGAAGGGGGUAGAAUAUAAGAGAGGCAAUAACCUUUCUUCCUCCAAAAUGAUGGCUCUUAUUUUCAGUUUGCUAUAUGGCAAACAGCUUUCUGUGGAUUCUCUCAUCCAGUCUCACUAUCCUGUCAGGGGCUACUAUUACCCCAUCUUACAGAUAAGGAAACUGAAGCCUGAGGAGACUGAGUAACGUGUCCAAAGUCACAUACAAGAGCCGGGACAUGAACAUGGUGUUCUGAUCCCACCUUGUGCUAAACCACCAUUCCAGGCUGCCUUUGGGCCCUUUGGCUUACACCUAGAUAGAGCUGAUAUACCCUAUACCUUGGUAUAUCCGGUCACCUUAUAAAAGUAAUAUCUCUACACAGACAGAGUUGAAGACUUGAGAUCAUAGACAUACGGGAUGAGAAAAGGCAGGCUGGGCCAUGGUGGGAGGGAUGCAAGGAAGAAGGAGGGUGUUAGGAUCCCUGCCUUCAUAUGUAUAACAGGCUUCAAGUGUUCCUUCCUGGAGUCCUGGAAGGCAGAGCCAUGGCCAAGGGGGUGAAAAUACAGAGGCAUGUUUAGGUUCAAGUAACAAUGCACUUUCUAAUAAUUUGAGCACUUUUGACGAUGGACUGGCAUCUCAUGAGGGAGUGUCCCUAGAUGGCAUCCAGCACAGGCCAACUGAUCACUUGUCAGAAGCAGACGCUGGAUCAGGUGACCUUUUGAGUUCUUCUCCUACUGAGGCCAUCUCUGCUUCUGGACUAGUCCUAACAUCUGGACUAGGGAGUCGGGGCACUUUUAGGCACAAGGGCAAGUCCUGCAGUUUUUGAUUUAUUGCAUUUCAACAAUGAAUGCUGAUAACCUGUUCCCCUUCAGGGAGUUUUUAUUUUAUUUUGUUUUAUUUCAUUUCAUUUCAUUUCAUUUAUUUUCUUAAACUUCUAUUCUUUGGGGAUUUUUGAAGUAUGUGCUAUACUCUUUAUCCAUAUAACAAAAGCUGCCAGGCAGACCCACUGUGGAAGGAUUUAAGAACAAAUAAGGAAACAAACACAUAUAAUGCUCUCUACUUCCUUGUGGUGUUUGUGUCUUCUCAUUUACAGCCAACUUAUCAGAUAGCUGAUACUGUCAGGAUUUUUUGAAUAGCUGCAUAUAUACCUUUCACUCUGCCUUUGCUAUCCCAAAGUUGGCCCUUCUGAAUCCUCUCUCCCCUGUUCUGCUGCGGUCUGGUGAAAGAACUAUUACAUUAAUAGUUAGGACUAUAAAUAGGAAAUGAGUAAAUAGGUUCAGAGAAAGGAACCAGAGACCUGUUCAGUUAGUAAAUUGCAUGAUACAAUCUAUAAUACAUGGACUUUGGUAUGUCCAUUUGAUUAGAGACUUCUCUCUCCCCCACUUCCAAAACUCUAGAGUAUGUUGUAUCUUUGUUCUGGGAAGCUUAAGGUGUGUGGACUUGUGGCCCCAUAUGUAAAAUGCUUUUAAAGUUCGGCUUCCCAUGUCAAGAGAAGGAACAAUGGCCCGGCAGUGAGGCCGCCACCCCAGCACGCACCGGCCGGCUAAGCCAUCGGAGCAUCCCGUGGGGCCCCUGUGUGUUGGGGAAAACAGUGGCUGCCCAGGAUAACGAGACCAUGUCAGGCAUUGUAGGCAAAUAUGCUUGGGCCAGCACUCCACAGUCUCACGCUGCAGUUGUGUGUUCCUAGGGAGCCCACACCAUCUUAAUCAUGCCUGCCAGGGAAGAAAUUCUCCUUUCUCUUUUUUUCCCCAAGACGUAUUUCCCCUGUAUCGUUUAAACAUAUUAAAUCACUGUUAGUACGCAGAGUGGGCAUCAUGUUAGCAUAAGAUCUAAUCAGAGCGAGUCUGCUGGUCUCCAAAGGCUUUAUUCUUUUUGUCUCUUUCCUCUGUUUUCUUGUUAGACUGAAGAGCCUUUUCUGACAUCCUCAUUUGUUCUGCUGUGUAAUAGCAUGGGAUCUUUCAGAGCUGUCGACAUCUGCUGCACUCUAGAGAGCUGCAGAACCAAGCCAGCAAAGCAAUAAUAAUUAUGCCCAAAUGGACUGCAAAGGAUGUAAGAGAUAAGAAGGAAGACCAGAAAAAAAUACACUCGAUGCAAUGGUGUUCCAGCCUGAAGUGAGUGAAUGUGUGUGCGUGUGUGUGCAUGUAAAUGUACAGUCGCUGAAGCCAUACACCUGUAUGUGCGUUGAGGACACAAAUCCUUUUCCUGAGAGCAGUGGACUGGAAAUCAGUCUGGCUCAGGGUUCUCCAAAUUCCCAAUCCUUGCUCCUUCCCCCAGAAGGAAGGUGUGGCUUCCUACAUUGCAGGGUAGUUUGUAGGACACUGUGGAGAGAGACCUUCUUCCUUCUGCCCCCCGCUCCACCCUUAUGCAUAGCUGUGUCUUCAUCCCUGGAACUACUCUGAGGAUAAAUUCGGCUUGUUGGAAAGAGGCUGUACAUCUUCCUGAUUAUCAACGUGCUAGUUAUUAAAUACCUGGCCUGUUGGGCCUCCCCUAGGAUUAAAACUAGCAAACUGGCAUCUACUGGAUGCUUAGUAUUUGCCAGGCACUGUGUAAGCCCUUCAUGUGCAGGAUCAUUCUUCCUUAAAUAACUCUACCAGCUUGGUGUCACUGUAUCCCCAUCUGCAGGUGAAAAGAUUAGGGCAUGGAGGGUCCCCCAGCUGACAAAGAGGGGCUUCAAAAAUGGACCCUGGGCCUCUCCUACCCCGGCAUCGGCCUUCCUGGGUACAAGGCCAUAUGCCCAGAGGCCCUGCUUGUGCACCGACAGAGAGACUGGUUUUUAAGGCUGUGGUUACUCGAGAACAAAAGAACCGGUCAUGCCGUUCAUGUGUGACUCUUCACAAAGCAGCCAGGCCGCUCAGUGACAUACUUGGUCACUUUCAUGAACAACCAGUCAGUUGAACAAAGAGAACUGAAAUAAAAUAAACUCCCCAAACCAAGGGAGCCCAGGUUUUUUUUUUUUUCCCUCCCCCAUUGGGUUAGCUGAUUAUUUUGCAGAAUCCGAGACUCCUACCAAGGCCAGUUGUCUUGAGGUCACUUAGGGCCCAGGAAGGGCGAGCAGGCCCCACACCUGGUCUCAGGACCCUGCUUCAGCCAGAAGCCAGCGCACCUGGGAUGGACCAACCCUCAGCAACAGUGGGAGGCUCAUCAGUCGAGAACAUAUGCUUCCUGCCUAUGCCAUCCGCCUCCCUCAACCCUAUUCCAGCCCUGGCCCCACCAUAUAGCCCCACCGCUCCCACUCUGGAACUUAUACCGUGAUCUCCCGACAUCCUUUACUUCUUCAGAAGCCUCCUUAGAAGGCCCAGGUGACUCAUUUAUGCUGGAGUGACCCCUCUUAGACAGAUUCAUUUUAACUAGAGGAAAUGCUUGAAUUAGACCAAAGGAUUACAUCUCCAGUAGUGGUAUCAUAGGCUUCCCCUUCUCCUAGUAAGGGAGCCAGUGGCUCUGGGGAAAGCCUCCAUGGCAUCUUUAUCAUCACGUUCUGUGAAAAAGGGAAGAGCCUUUUUCCAUCUACUUCAGUGGCUGGAUGAGGGUGGAGCAGAGACCAGGGUACAGAACUUCACACAGGUGUCCCACUCAAGACUUGGGAGUCGUGGGGGUCCUUCUGGGAAUGCAUUUCACAGACUUAACAGUGUGAAAUGUGAAACUCAACACCCAGUAACAUUUUGGAGCGAAAAGAGAAAAAAACCGACCUAAACAGUUAAAAGCUUGGGCAGGAAAAUGGGCAAACAGGGAUUAUUCUGGGGAUGGACGGAAAAAAACCUCGAAUGAGGGGGGAAAAAAAAAGUCACGUGCACCACAACAUCUACCUGCAGCUGUGUUGCUGAAAAUCCCCCAACAGGAAGCGUGAGCAGCCAGCGGGAUGGAAGCUGCCAGUACAACGAGGCAUCAAGGAGGGCCAGGGCUGGUUGGGGCCGUGGAUGAAACUGGAGCCCAUCUGGGACCAAGAAAUAACCUGGCUCCUCUCUGCAUGUGCCGGGCACCGGUACACAUGUGGUCAGGCGCAACUGGGCCAGAAUUAAUACAUUUUGUUAAUGUUUUUAUUUCUGAGAGCGAGAGAGAGAGAGAGAGAGAGAAAGCACGAGCAUGGGAGAGGCGGGUGGGUGCAGAGGGCCCCAAAGAGGGCUCUGCGCUGAUAGCAGCAAGCCAGACACAGGGCUUGAACUCAAAAACUGAGAUCAUGACCCUGACUGAAGUGACACCUUCAGCCGACUGAGCCACCCAGACACCCCCAGAAUUAGUAUUCAUAGCCCAGUGAUAGUAAUGGUCACACUAUGUUCAUCGAUGGUAGCUCCUAGAACCACAAGUAGCCAGCAGGUGAAAUGUACUCAGUUAACCAUGAUUUGGGUUAUAACACAUCACAUCGUCCUUUUGGCUUUUGGUUUUUGACGUGAUGAUUCUUUCACCUCCGUAAAGAGUUGUAAGCCAUACAGGAACUCUAAUGACAAUUUAGGAAUUCAUAGGGUACGUGUAUGAUUCUGUAUUGUCUUCCUGAGUCCCCGUGUUCAGUCAUUUGGAUCCGUAGCUGAUCUUCCCUGGUGAAUUGGAACAAUGUGUGGAGAGCCCCCAAGGGAAGGAACUCUGAGAUCUUAGGGAAGCCAGUGGACACAGGGCUCCUAUAAACCUUUCUGGAAGGGGUACAGAUGCGAGAGAGCUGGCCCCUGAGAGCAUCUAUGCAGCCAAAGGCCACUGCCUGGCUCAAGUCCAUGCAGAUCAGCAUAUCUGCAUAUUGUAGUUCAGUAGGGACUGCUGCUCUUGAUUUAAUUAAUAGUUUGUUUGCAUAAUUUUCCUUAGGAAGGACUAUUAGCACAUCAAAAGGACGUUAAAAGUAUCCUUGGUAAUAAUAAAUACAAACCUAGUUUAUCACUUUGUCAGUUUCAACAAACACCACUCUGAUAUGCUAACCUUUCCCAUGGAGGCGCCCUAGUUAAGUCAACAGCCAGACAAGUGGGAGAAGGGAACAUAGGCCCAGUCUGUGAACUGGUUGAUGGGGAAAGCCAAAAUAAUUUCUGUGAGGAUACAUUUUUUGAAUUCCCAAAUACCUGAAAAAUGCCAGAGGCAUGUGUAUGACUUUUCCUUCCUCCCUCCUCCCACUUAAAAGCUUUUGUAGAGAACCUGCUGAGCUGGUAGCAUUUUUCUUUGCAUCUCAAGGGAGCACUUUGUAAAAAUGUUUUUAGAACACUAAUUUUUAUGCACCCCCCCGCCCUGCCCUGCCCAGGGGAAGAAGGAAAGGUGGGUCAUUUACAUGAAAUUAAAGAUUUUUGUAUAGCCCAUCUCUGUCCCACCCCUGAAGAAGACAGGGAGAACAGCAAAUGUCCUUGAAACGUCGGUAGCCAUGCGAGGUUUGAUUCAAGAAAGAAAAUGCCUCUGAAGGCGGAAGGCAGGGAACCACAGAGAAUGACCAAGCCCCUCAGUGGCUCAAGAUAUGCCAAAGUGCAGGUGAAACCAAACAACCUGAUCAUGUACACCUCUGGGUGGGACGGAGGAAGCUUCGCUCUGUGUGGCAGGUAUAUUCAGUAAAAUCUUCCUAGCCUCUCCAUGGAAACUUCGGCAGUUAAAGCCCAUGGGCCACUUUCAAAACCUAAAAUUCAAUUCUUUUAGCUAAAAAGAGAAGUUAUUUAUCUUAGUCAUCUGUGUACUACAUCCAGCCUCAUUUUGUUCAACAAAAGAUACUAAACAUAGUCAUCGCCUGGCAUGUCUGAGCCUGGUCUUAUUAACUGGAAACUGGAGAAAGAAGUUCAGAAAUUGACAAAAGAUCACCGAGGCAACUAGAAUGACAUCUGAAGUAGACGGGCGGUUUUGCCCUUUGCCAGCAUCUGCUCCUGCUCCCCCAGGCCCUUCAGAACUCUGGCUCUGUGUGGCAUUUCCAUGGGCUUCCAGGAAAGAAGGUCCGAGGCCACCUCCCAACUCCACUCUCUCCAGGGGAGUCUGAUCUGGUCGGGGGUGAUCUCAACCUACUGCCAGCGGUUGGUUCAGAAAUGAGUGUGUAAUCAUUUGGGCUGGUGAGGCAAAAAAAGAUUUUUCUUGGAGCUUCUGGGGGAAAAUAUCUUUAUUCUUCAGAGACUGCCUUGGGAAGCAUUUCUCUGGCCAUCACAUGUCCCUGGAUGUGAGGCCAUCUGCUACACAUGCCCUGCUACCAGGCUGAGGCUGAAGGUGCAGGCAGAAGAGGGCAGAGCUUAAGAGAGCAGCACGAAAGAGGGCCAGGAGCCCCAAGACCCCGUCAACCCCAAAGCCUCAAGUUCCUCUAGACUUUGGUUUUGUGGCCGUACUUUAUCUUAGUUUAUAAGCCAGUUUGAGUUUUCUGUUGCUUGCAAGAAAGGAAUCUUAACUAAUACAAGUUGUCAAAAACUAGAAACUUCUAAGUAGUCCUCAUGAGAAAGACAAAACCUGUUUGUUGCCUGCGUAAAAGGAAGAAUGUAAUAUUGACUAAUGGAUGAAAAGAAGAGAAACUGCAUCGUGAUAGAACUAGGAUGGCUUCCUCCACAGUGCAAAGGGUUCAACUAUCAAAUAAUUUAGCGCCGAACCUAAGGCACUGUCAUCACUCGGGAUAGUUUGAAUGUGACCAGGUAAAGUGGUCUAAAAUCCUAGAUAUCUCCCAGGGCCGUACUCCACCUCAGCAGAAGACCUGUUGCAGAGCAUGAAGCAGAUACAACCUAGUAUAUAAUCUAAAAUCGCCCCGGUCAAGAGACUGUUCUGGAGGCUCUGACAAUAAUCAUACAGUUCCCAGUGGAAGGGCAUGGUCUGGAGGAAAGUCACUUGAACUUGGGGAAGCCAAGUCUGGUUUUGUGCAAAAAUAAAAAUGGAAGGCUUCACGAAAUUGGAAAAGUAUCCCUCCCCGUCUGAAAUACACCCCCUGAGUCCCUGCUAUUUGAAAUUGUCAACUGGAGAAUAAAGACAGAGAUAAAGGAUCUCAAAUGCAAAUUUCCAUGAGAGCACUAACACAGUACUAACAGCUUGGCCACUCAAAAGUCUAUCUCACUAGUUCAAGAAAGUAAGCUUUGUGACGCCACAGGUAUUUUUGUCUUGUUCAUUACUCUAUCCCUUAUAACUAAAAGGGUGUUUAACCCAUAAUACAUGCAAAAUCACCAUUUGUGACUAAAUGAAUGACCGAUAAUCUGAGUCUUACCCAGAGCAAACUUUUAUGGGAAAGAAGAAAAUCUCCAGAGGUGGAUUUAUCAUGAGGCUGAGGAAUGUUAAGCAUUAGUGCCCCUCUCUGUGCUAGGAGGAACCCUACCAGUGCAUUCACUUGUCAUAUGUUUUUGCAAAAUUUGUAGAAGUCAGAUAUUUUAGUCUUGACAGGUCAGACUUCUGUCUCUUUCGACUCUAUCUUGCUCUCCUAUCAGGUGCCAUCAGUCACUGCAGGCUUUUUGGGGGGGGAGGGAAGCUAAGUCAAGUAGAUUUGAAAUACACUAAUUUUUGUGUAGCAGGAUAUAUUUAUGUGAUUCAUAGUCACUUCUGCAUGUAGUAUUUCUAGCCUUCCUCUUGUAGGAGUGGAUUCCCACUGUAGAAACACAUCUGAUGUCCUAACAUAAAGGCGCAUACAGAUGUUGUAUGACAAUACGAGUGUGUUCUGUGACCUUAGUGGAGGCAAAGGAAUGUUUGAAAUGGAGCCGGAAGCUAGUCCAUGGAAAAUUUUUUCCAAUCAAUUGCAAACAAAGCGUUCCGUUUUCAUUGACACCUAGUUAAAAUGAGGUUUUUCUCCCAUUGGGAAUAUACAUGAGGACGCAGCGAAUACUUUUGUGGUUUUGUGCCAUAUCAUGAAAUCAUUUUUCAAAUUUUUGCAAAUGACAUUAAUAGAAAUUAUUCUGAUAUCUACAAGUGAAUUGAAACCAAACAGAACCAACCCAGAUCAUUCCAAAAGUAGUAAACCAUUAAGAAGAAGAGAUAAAUUGCUAAUAGAAAUAAUAAAUAGGCUCUUAGAUUAUUUAAUGAUGCAAUUAAUGAAGAAAAGUGAUUAUGUGAACAUAUUUUUUUUUUAAUUUUUUUUUCAACGUUUAUUUAUUUUUGGGAUAGAGAGAGACAGAGCAUGAACGGGGGAGGGGCAGAGAGAGAGGGAGACACAGAAUUGGAAACAGGCUCCAGGCUCUGAGCCAUCAGCCCAGAGCCUGACGCGGGGCUCGAACUCCCAUUCCGCGAGAUCGUGACCUGGCUGAAGUCGGACGCUUAACCGACUGUGCCACCCAGGCGCCCCUAUGUGAACAUAUUUAAAUUUCUUUAUGAUUUGACAAGGAUAGUCAUGUUGACAAAGAUAACGCAACUCGUAAUUACACCACUACAGUGAGGACAUUGGCAACAAACUCGUUAACAGAGAGCACUGUCAAUUCAAAACAUCUAAGAUAAGGCACAAAACAACAAAAACUAGAAAUGCUCUGAAAUCUUAAGACUCACAUAUGACAAGAAAAAGUUUCCCCAAAUUGACUAUAAUCCUAAACAUUUAUGUGAUGAUACCAAUAAUAAGACAAGAGGCUCACAAACUUUCCUAAAUUAUUAAUAAAAGACAAAUUUGAUCAACCAUGUACAGGAAAGAUUUAUACUUUCUAGAUAAAAAAUAUAAAAUCUUUGCCAUACGAAGAGGUAAUCCAGCAUAUGGAGUUCAUAAAAAAAAUAAUGAAAAAUUAUAAGGCGUUUUAGAAAAUCAAGUAACAAUAUCAUGGUAGAAUAGUAUAUGUGUGUUGAGGAUGGAAUUCAGGAACUCUCUUAGAGUUUCUUUUUUUUAAGUUUAUUUCUUUCUUUUGAGAGAGAGAGAGAGUAUGUGUGUGCAAGUAGGGGAGGGGCUGAGAGAGAGAGAGAGAGGGAGAGAGAGAAUCCCAAGCAGGCUGUACACUGUCAGCGCAGAGCCCAUGCAGGGCUCAAUCUCACGAACUGUGAGAUCAUGACCUGAGGCGAAAUAAAGAGUCAGACACUUAGCCAAAUGAGCCACCCAGGCACCCCUCUUAGAGUUUAUAAAGUGGAAAAAAAAACCCAAAAACAAAUGAGGAUCACUUCCCUGAACGAUGGUAUCUAGAGAAAAGAAAAUUUACUUUGGACUUGAAGUGUCUUGAGUUUAAAUCCCAGUCCCUCCACUUAAAUAGUUGUGUGACUGUGAGACUUGAUUUCUACAUUUGUAAAAAUAGGCAGAAUAUUAAGUGUCUUUUAGAGCUUUUGUGAAAAUUAAAUGCUACUACUAAAAUUAAAUGAAGCUAUAAAAAUUAAAUGAAUAGGGCUCUUCUAAAGUAAAUGUGCUCAGUAGAAGGUGUUCUGUAAAUGUUAGCUUCCUUCUGAAAUAUAUAGAGCAGGAUGUCAACUUAUGCAAAGAAUGUAAAUUUGUUCUGGUCAUAAAUGUCAAUGCAUUUUCUGACAAUGCCCAUGAAUUUGUAUAGACUAUAUGGAUUAUGUUUCACCUUUUUGCCUUAUCCUCAAGCUAAUACCAAAUAGGCAUUGACAUAUAUGGGCAAUUUAUGAAAGAAGAAAUAAGAAUGUCUGGUAAUAUAGCCAGAGUUGUUUAACGUACCUGGUCAUCAGACAUGGAUGUAAACAACCAAAUACCAUUUAAUCACUCAGAUUGGCAAAAGAAGAUUGAUAAAAAGAACGGAAAAGGCUGCCUGCAGUUGGUAAGGGUCCAAGAGAGUGACACUCUCAUAACAAUGAGUGGCUGGAGUUCAAAUUGGCACAGCUGUUCUGAGGCCAGUGUAAAAGUACAGUUGCCCCUGGGGGUGCCUGGGUGGCUCAGUCAGUCAAGCUUCCAACUCUUGAUUUUGACUCAGAUCAUGAUCUCACGGUUUCAUGGGAUGGAGCCCGCAUUGGGCUCUGCGCUGACAGCGUGGAGCCUGCUUGGGAUUCUCUCUUUCUGUCUCUGUCUCCAUCUGCCCCUCCGCCCACCAAAUAAAUAAACAUUAACAUUUUUUAAAGCCCCCUGUUUAAAAAAAGAAAAAGUACAGUUGACUGCAAAACAAUUACAGGGUUUAAGGGCUCCAAGCCCCCACUUCCUGCACAGCUGAAAACUGUGUAUGACUUUUGACCCCCAGAAACUAACUAUUGGUAGCUAACAACUGACCAGAAGCCUUACCAAUAAACUAAGGAAUUGAAUAACUCAUCUUUUUUAUGUUAUUAUGUGCUAUAUGCUGUGUUCUUACAAUAAAGUAAGCUAGAGAAAAUAAAUGUUAUUAAAAUUAUAAGGAAGAGAAAAUUCACAUUCACAGUACUCUGCAGCAAAAAAUCUGUGUAUAAGUUCAAACCUGUGUUGUCCAGAGUCAACUAUAGACUAAAACGACAACAAAGAAAACCCUUUAAAAAAUGUUUAUCCUGGGGGCUCCUGGGUGGCUCAGUCGGUUGAGCAUCCGACUUUGACUCAGGUCAUGUUCUCACAGUUUGUGAGUUCGAGCCCUGCGUCAGGCUCUAUGCUAACAGCUCAGAGCCUCGAACCUGCUUUGGAUUCUGUGUCUCCCUCUCUCUGUGCCCCUCCCCCACUUGUGCUCUGUCUCUCUCAAAAAAUAAAUAAACAUUAAAAAAAAUUUUUUUAAUGUUUCUCCUGCAUUUAAAGCUAAACAUGGCCACCCAAUGACCACUUCUAGUUUGCUUCCAAAAAAUGUAUACAUACGUCCUCCAAAAGGCAUGUACAGAACUGUUCAUAGCAACUUUAUUCAUAGUAGUUUAAAUGGCCAUCUACAAUAAACUGAAUCAAAUUGUGUAUUCAAACAAAACACUACAUAGUGAUAUAAUGAGUAAAUUACUGGGGCGCCUGGGUGACUCAGUCGGUUAAGCGUCCGACUUCGGCUCAGGUCAUGAUCUCGCAGUUCGUGGGUCCGAGCCCUGCUGUACUGACAGCUCAGAGCCUGGAGCCUGCUUCAGAUUCUGUGUCUCCCUCUGUCUCUCUUCCUUUCCCCUGCUUGUAUUUUCCCUUUCUCUCUCUCUCUCUCUCUCUCAGAA